Molecule: ribosomal RNA, 305 nt
Filed under: uncultured bacterium
Lineage: Bacteria
Description: bacterial SSU rRNA
Rfam family: Bacterial small subunit ribosomal RNA
Source: RNAcentral
CCUACGGGACGCAGCAGUAGGGAAUCUUUCACAAUGGGCGAAAGCCUGAUGGAGCAACGCCGCGUGCAGGAUGAAGGCCUUCGGGUUGUAAACUGCUUUUAUAAGCGAGAAAUAUGAUGGUAACUUAUGAAUAAGGAUCGGCUAACUACGUGCCAGCAGCCGCGGUAAUACGUAGGGGGCGAGCGUUAUCCGGAUUCAUUGGGCGUAAAGCGCGCGUAGGCGGUCAUGUAAGCGAGACCUCUAAUCUUGGGGCUCAACCUCAAGCCGGGUUCCGAACUACAUGACUCGAGUGUGGUAGGGGAGAU